RNAcentral lists this unclassified non-coding RNA (474 nucleotides) under Hevea brasiliensis (rubber tree). The record is from RNAcentral. Lineage: Eukaryota; Viridiplantae; Streptophyta; Magnoliopsida; Malpighiales; Euphorbiaceae.
AGAUGUUUUAGGGAUGACGCCCGAGUGGACACUGCUCCAGAUGAAGUCACCCUAGAAGAAUCAGUGGAUAUUUCAAAGGUCGUUUGCUCAAGCGGAUGGUCUGCAGUACCACCCCAUGAUACAAGGCGUUUCCUCUCCCGUGAAGGGGGGUAUUUUGAUGAAAAUGACUGUAGUUCAGCUGUCCCAUUUCCAUUGACAAGUGAAGAAGAAUGUAGCCUAGAAUUCUUUACACCUGAUGUAUCUUCUAGUGGUUGAUUACCUCUGUCCACCUCCUCUUUUAAGUCACAUAAUUUGGUCUCAGGUAACUCAUCCAAAUCAGCAGAAGCUGAUGCAUUUUGGGGGAGACAUCCCAACGAGCAGAUCCCCAAUGAUGAGUUAUUAUGGUGCGAGCUUGGUGCAGAAGAAGGCUCAGAUGGUGACAGCAAUGGCUUGCCGGAAGUCAUAAAUACUCCUCCAAUGAAAUCGCAUUGGAAA